This 484-nucleotide ribosomal RNA is filed under the name uncultured bacterium. Its description in RNAcentral is "bacterial SSU rRNA". It matches the Rfam family "Bacterial small subunit ribosomal RNA", at positions 1 to 526 of the family's 1533-position model. The record is from RNAcentral.
ACUAGCAGUAAGAGUUUGAUCCUGGCUCAGAGCGAACGCUGGCGGCAGGCUUAACACAUGCAAGUCGAACGCUCGUAGCAAUACGAGAGUGGCAGACGGGUGAGUAACGCGUGGGAACGUACCCUUCGGUUCGGAAUAACCCGGGGAAACUCGGGCUAAUACCGGAUACGUCCGCAAGGAGAAAGAUUUAUCGCCGAAGGAUCGGCCCGCGUCGGAUUAGCUAGUUGGUGAGGUAAUGGCUCACCAAGGCGAUGAUCCGUAGCUGGUCUGAGAGGACGAUCAGCCACACUGGGACUGAGACACGGCCCAGACUCCUACGGGAGGCAGCAGUGGGGAAUAUUGGACAAUGGGCGCAAGCCUGAUCCAGCCAUGCCGCGUGAGUGAUGAAGGCCUUAGGGUUGUAAAGCUCUUUUACCAGGGAAGAUAAUGACGGUACCUAGAGAAUAAGCCCCGGCUAACUUCGUGCCAGCCGCCGCGGUAAUAC